This 132-nucleotide ribosomal RNA is filed under the name Escherichia coli. Its description in RNAcentral is "partial 16S ribosomal RNA". It matches the Rfam family "Bacterial small subunit ribosomal RNA", at positions 1 to 123 of the family's 1533-position model. Lineage: Bacteria; Pseudomonadati; Pseudomonadota; Gammaproteobacteria; Enterobacterales; Enterobacteriaceae. The record is from RNAcentral.
UUAAAUUGAAGAGUUUGAUCAUGGCUCAGAUUGAACGCUGGCGGCAGGCCUAACACAUGCAAGUCGAACGGUAACAGAAAUCAGCUUGCUGAUUUGCUGACGAGUGGCGGACGGGUGAGUAAUGUCUGGGAA